AGUGAACGCUGGCGGUAGGCCUAACACAUGCAAGUCGAACGGCAGCACAGUAAGAGCUUGCUCUUACGGGUGGCGAGUGGCGGACGGGUGAGGAAUACAUCGGAAUCUACUUUUUCGUGGGGGCUAACGUAGGGAAACUUACGCUACUACCGCAUACGACCUACGGGUGAAAGCAGGGGAUCUUCGGACCUUGCGCGAUUGAAUGAGCCGAUGUCGGAUUAGCUAGUUGGCGGGGUAAAGGCCCACCAAGGCGACGAUCCGUAGCUGGUCUGAGAGGAUGAUCAGCCACACUGGAACUGAGACACGGUCCAGACUCCUACGGGAGGCAGCAGUGGGGAAUAUUGGACAAUGGGCGCAAGCCUGAUCCAGCCAUACCGCGUGUGUGAAGAAGGCCUUCGGGUUGUAAAGCCCUUUUGUUGGGAAAGAAAAGCAGCAGGUUAAUACCCCGCUGUUCUGACGGUACCCAAAGAAUAAGCACCGGCUAACUUCGUG
This 492-nucleotide ribosomal RNA is filed under the name uncultured bacterium. Its description in RNAcentral is "partial 16S ribosomal RNA". It matches the Rfam family "Bacterial small subunit ribosomal RNA", at positions 29 to 507 of the family's 1533-position model. The record is from RNAcentral.